AGCUCCAAUAGCGUAUAUUAAAGUUGUUGCGGUUAAAAAGCUCGUAGUUGGAUCUCAGUGUUAGACGAUCGGUCCGCCGCCCGGCGCGACUGAUCGUACUGCACCGUCCGCCGUUGCAGUCUCCAGUGCUCUUCAUUGAGUGUUGGACGAUUGCCGGUACGUUUACUUUGAAAAAAUUAGAGUGCUCCAAGCAGGCGUUUCCGCCUGAAUAUCUGUGCAUGGAAUAAUGGAAUAGGACCUCGGUUCUAUUUUGUUGGUUUUCGGAACUCGAGGUAAUGAUUAAUAGGGACAGACGGGGGCAUUCGUAUGGCGACGCUAGAGGUGAAAUUCUUGGACCGUCGCCAGACGAACUACUGCGAAAGCAUUUGCCAAGAAUGUUUUCAUUAAUCAAGAACGAAAG
RNAcentral lists this ribosomal RNA (400 nucleotides) under phytoplankton environmental sample. RNAcentral's name for it is "partial small subunit ribosomal RNA". It matches the Rfam family "Eukaryotic small subunit ribosomal RNA", at positions 587 to 989 of the family's 1831-position model. The record is from RNAcentral.